This 1032-nucleotide ribosomal RNA is filed under the name Deficephalobus desenderi. RNAcentral describes it as "eukaryotic LSU rRNA". It matches the Rfam family "Eukaryotic large subunit ribosomal RNA", at positions 69 to 921 of the family's 3401-position model. The record is from RNAcentral. Lineage: Eukaryota; Metazoa; Nematoda; Chromadorea; Rhabditida; Osstellidae.
CGAGGAUUCCCCCAGUAACGGCGAGUGAACGGGGAUGAGCCCAGCGCUAAAUCCUGUUGCUCUAGCGGGUAACGGGAGGUGUAGCGUAUAGUAGGCGAUUUCUCCUUGACGGUUUUCGACUUAAGUUCUCCUUGACUGGGGUUCCAUAGAAGGUGAAAGGCCUGUUCAGUCGAUGGCCGUCUUGGAUUCCGCUUCUCUACUUGGAGUCGGGUUGUUUGGGAACGCAGCCCAAAUUGGGUGGUAAACUUCAUCUAAGGCUAAAUACGGCCACGAGACCGAUAGCAAACAAGUACCGUGAGGGAAAGUUGAAAAGUACUUUGAAGAGAGAGUUCAAGAGGACGUGAAACCGGUAGGAUGGAAACGGAUAGAGCCAACGAACAAGCCCGUAUUCAGCUAGUCGGUUGCGUGCGGCAUGCCUAUACCCUUGAUAAGGGGUACGGGUGUGUGCGGCUAUGCGAUCGGUUAGUGCAUUUGCGGGUGAUGUGCGCUGAGGCGUGUGACAUGGUGUCCGGCGAACCGUAUGGAGAGGCCUCGUUCUUCACGGGACUUGGUACCUACUUGCGGGGAGUCGGGUUGCCGUUGCACGUACGCAGAGUGGCUAGGUGAAUUCGCGUUGGUGUAUCGUCGGCUUAGCUACUUGGUCGGUCGCAUGCGACUAGGCCUUGUUGGUUGGACUUGACGGUGCGCUAAUGCUCUGGCCGAUCCUCGGUGUAAAAGUUGGUCAUCUCUCCGACCCGUCUUGAAACACGGACCAAGGAGUCUAGCGUAUGCGCGAGUCAUUGGGUGGAAAACCCAUAGGCGUAAUGAAAGUGAAGGUCUCUGUACGGAGGCUGAUAUGCGAUCCGUUGUGUUUCGGCGCACCGGAGCAGCAUAGCCCCAUCUCGACCGCUUGCGGUGGGGUGGAGGUAGAGCGUAUUCGCUGGUACCCGAAAGAUGGUGAACUAUGCCUGAGCAGGAUGAAGCCAGGGGAAACCCUGGUGGAAGUCCGAAGCGCUUCUGACGUGCAAAUCGAUCGUCUGACUUGGGUAUAGG